GGACAGCAAAGCAGCAUUGCAGCGUACAGACUACAAAUGAGGAACGACUUUGUGUGACCCAAGUAUGCAUCCUUAGGGAUUCACGCAGAUGCGGCCACUCAUCACUAAAAAGAAGCAGUGACAUGACGGAGUAAUACAACCCAAAAAGUAAUCUAGAAAGUCUGUUGGAAGAAACGAAAGAAAUGGAAGGCUUUCAAGAGCUGCCUGAGGAAAGAGCAAUACAGACUCCUGCAAGUGAAAGCAGGGAAUCUCUAACAGGAACUAGACACAUUUGUACA
RNAcentral lists this long non-coding RNA (278 nucleotides) under Anas platyrhynchos platyrhynchos (common mallard). RNAcentral's name for it is "lncRNA (ENSAPLG00000027856.1)". Lineage: Eukaryota; Metazoa; Chordata; Aves; Anseriformes; Anatidae. The record is from RNAcentral.